UUCCAGACAGUAAUUUCAUUUGCAGGACAACUUACAAGGAAUUUAUUUUAAGGCCAGGUAAAACCUAAAAUCUAUGAGACAUGCAGAAAAUGCGGGCCCAAAAUAAAAGGAAAUAAAUGAGCUGGGCAUGGGAAACUCAGCUGUUGUCUCUCACAAGUUAAUUAGGGGUGACAGGAACAACAGCUCAGGGAAUCGAGUUCUCAACCCAUCCUGGUCUGCUUUCAAAGCUGCUGCUGAAGAGAAGUUUCUUCUUGUUAGUUCCUCCUAACACCUAGCAAAUCAUCACAUCCUAUCCCCUUGACACUUGAAACCAUCGUCACUGUUAAAGCAGUUGUCACCAGCAAUACCUUCCAUUUCACGGGACUCUCAUGUUUAUCAUUUGACUGACCUGCCAAGAGGCCUAGUGAUGGCCAUAUAGGAAAUUCUCUUCUCAGUUACACUGAACUUUAGUGAGGUUAAAUGACAUGAACAGCGUCAUAUGGCUAGUUAAAUAGCAGCCAAAACUCUAAUUCGAUUCCUCAGAGUCUACUAGAAAGAAGGUAAUUAUAAUAAUAAUAAUAAUCAGGUUUUAAAGCACUUUGCAGUUCAGAAAGCCGAUUCCCUCAGUCACUUUCUUGCAUCCAUUCAGGGCCCCUGCAAUGCAGUGAUAUAGGAGGGAGGCCAGGGAGUCACGAUGCAGAUUUUAUAUAAAACACAUUUGUAUGAUGGAUUCUUACCCUGGCUUCCCCAAAAUGCUAAGCCUGUGGCACAUGCUUAUGUGCUGCUGUUUCACAUGGGAACAAAGUCCCAAGGGACCAGGAGAGAAGGAAAAAAAAAAAGCAGAAGUGACGCAGAGAUGGAGGGGAUGGAACUGAUCCAGCUACUGCUUGUUUCAUCAUGACCAGUUGCUUGGUUUUAUCAGACUGUCUUAAUAUGUCUUGCAUAAGAAGAACUGCCUUGUGGUAUAGUCCAUCCAGAAGAGAGGAGGAAGGGAGAAGAACUGAUCAGCAGCCUCUGUCUCCCAUUGAUCCAAAAUUCCCUGCAUGGGGAAUUAACUUCCCAGCUCUCCUUGGUUGCAUGGUGUCUCAAUGCCUCUGCAGUAACAGAAGAAUAGUCCAUAGCACCACACGUGGCAAGGCACCACUGGCCAAUGCUUACAUGAAGCUGAUCAACAUGGUAGGGAAGAGUAGAGCCCAUUCAGAACUGGUUUUAGUGGUGGAGACUGGAGUAAAACAAGUAGCAAGUAGCCAAGGUGAUCUGAGGAAUGGGUGAGGUCAGUGGUGGAAUAGAGCAUGAGAGAUAUUUGAUACAACUAUCAAGUAAGGUAACCAGUCCACUGAUGGCCAGAGUCCAUUCAUCCUUUUACUCCCACAAAAUACAAUACUGCCAGCAUUAUAAUACUAGUCAGUUUCAGGGUGUGAUUUGAACCCAAGUCUGCUUGAUUCUGCCGCCUAUAAAAUUCCCAUGAUAACAUGUCAUAUAGAAAUACAUAUAAUCCAUAAAUGUAAA
Long non-coding RNA from Bos taurus (domestic cattle), 1488 nucleotides. Lineage: Eukaryota; Metazoa; Chordata; Mammalia; Artiodactyla; Bovidae. The record is from Ensembl.